AAUUUCAGUUCCGCCUAAAAUAGUUAAAAAUUUUCCAAUAAAUUAAACCUUAAUUUUAGAGUAACUCAAAUAAGGUACAGCCUAUUUGAUACAGGAUUCAACCUUCACAAACGGGUAAUAGUUAUUUCACACACCCAAGUGGGCCUAGGAGCAGCCAUCUUAUUAAAAGCGUUAAAGCUUAAACGUGUAAAUUUUUAAUUCAUAACCCACUAUCAACCCCUUCACUACUACUGAAAACUUCUAUAAAAAUAGAACUUUUUAUGCUAAAACUAGUAACAAGGGGAAGCCCCCCCUCUAAGAUGUAAGUAUAAGCCAAAAAGAACCCAUCAUUGGCACUCAACAAGCGAAAAUAGUAACUAUACUAGAAAAUUCUAUUUUGCACCCUGUUAAUCUAACACCAGAACAUCUCAAGAAAGAUUAAAAGAAAAAGAAGGAACUCGGCAAAUAUUAGCCCCGCCUGUUUACCAAAAACAUCACCUCUUGAUACUAUAAGAGGCCUGGCCUGCCCGGUGACUCUUGUUUAACGGCCGCGGAACCCUGACCGUGCGAAGGUAGCGUAAUCACUUGUCCUAUAAAUGAGGACUAGUAUGAAAGACUUCACGAGGACUAAACUGUCUCCUUUUUCUGAUCAGUGAACCUAAUCUCCCCGUGAAGAAGCGGGCAUAACUAUAUAAGACGAGAAGACCCCAUGGAGCUUAAAACACUUCUACACCUGUCACAAUUCCCUGAUAACUGCUAUGACACCCUGUUUAAAUGUUUUUGGUUGGGGUGACUGCGGAGAAUAAUAAAACCCCCGCGAUGAAAGGUACAUUCCCUAAACUAUAAGUUACAACUUUAAGUAUCAGAAAACUGACAUCCUUUGACCCAAUUACUUGAUCAACGAACCAAGUUACCCUGGGGAUAACAGCGCAAUCCACUUUAAGAGCUCUUAUCGACAGGUGGGCUUACGACCUCGAUGUUGGAUCAGGGUAUCCUAGUGGUGCAGCCGCUACUAAAGGUUCGUUUGUUCAACGAUUAAAACCCUACGUGAUCUGAGUUCAGACCGGAGCAAUCCAGGUCAGUUUCUAUCUAUAACAGAGCUUUUUUUAGUACGAAAGGAUCAAGACAGCAUGGCCUAUUUUUAUACAAGCCAUAGUUAAUCACUCUAGACUAACUCUUAAAGAAUAAUUAACCUCUAUAAAUUCUUCAAAAGAAGAACAGUUAAUGUAGCACACCUCGGCUCUGCAAAAGAUCUAAACCCUUUUUAUGGGGGUUCAAAUCCCCUCACUA
This 1269-nucleotide ribosomal RNA is filed under the name Pristimantis lanthanites (metallic robber frog). Its description in RNAcentral is "partial large subunit ribosomal RNA". The stretch from base 1 to 1088 matches the Rfam family "Bacterial large subunit ribosomal RNA", at positions 867 to 2925 of the family's 2925-position model. Lineage: Eukaryota; Metazoa; Chordata; Amphibia; Anura; Strabomantidae. The record is from RNAcentral.